Molecule: ribosomal RNA, 1468 nt
Filed under: uncultured bacterium
Lineage: Bacteria
Description: bacterial SSU rRNA
Rfam family: Bacterial small subunit ribosomal RNA
Source: RNAcentral
UCAGAUUGAACGCUGGCGGCAGGCCUAACACAUGCAAGUCGAACGGUAGCACAGAGGAGCUUGCUCCUUGGGUGACGAGUGGCGGACGGGUGAGUAAUGUCUGGGAAACUGCCCGAUGGAGGGGGAUAACUACUGGAAACGGUAGCUAAUACCGCAUAACGUCGCAAGACCAAAGAGGGGGACCUUCGGGCCUCUUGCCAUCGGAUGUGCCCAGAUGGGAUUAGCUAGUAGGUGGGGUAACGGCUCACCUAGGCGACGAUCCCUAGCUGGUCUGAGAGGAUGACCAGCCACACUGGAACUGAGACACGGUCCAGACUCCUACGGGAGGCAGCAGUGGGGAAUAUUGCACAAUGGGCGCAAGCCUGAUGCAGCCAUGCCGCGUGUAUGAAGAAGGCCUUCGGGUUGUAAAGUACUUUCAGCGAGGAGGAAGGUGUUGUGGUUAAUAACCACAGCAAUUGACGUUACUCGCAGAAGAAGCACCGGCUAACUCCGUGCCAGCAGCCGCGGUAAUACGGAGGGUGCAAGCGUUAAUCGGAAUUACUGGGCGUAAAGCGCACGCAGGCGGUCUGUCAAGUCGGAUGUGAAAUCCCCGGGCUCAACCUGGGAACUGCAUCCGAAACUGGCAGGCUAGAGUCUUGUAGAGGGGGGUAGAAUUCCAGGCGUAGCGGUGAAAUGCGUAGAGAUCUGGAGGAAUACCGGUGGCGAAGGCGGCCCCCUGGACAAAGACUGACGCUCAGGUGCGAAAGCGCGGGGAGCAAACAGGAUUAGAUACCCUGGUAGUCCACGCCGUAAACGAUGUCGACUUGGAGGUUGUGCCCUUGAGGCGUGGCUUCCGGAGCUAACGCGUUAAGUCGACCGCCUGGGGAGUACGGCCGCAAGGUUAAAACUCAAAUGAAUUGACGGGGGCCCGCACAAGCGGUGGAGCAUGUGGUUUAAUUCGAUGCAACGCGAAGAACCUUACCUACUCUUGACAUCCAGAGAACUUAGCAGAGAUGCUUUGGUGCCUUCGGGAACUCUGAGACAGGUGCUGCAUGGCUGUCGUCAGCUCGUGUUGUGAAAUGUUGGGUUAAGUCCCGCAACGAGCGCAACCCUUAUCCUUUGUUGCCAGCGGUUAGGCCGGGAACUCAAAGGAGACUGCCAGUGAUAAACUGGAGGAAGGUGGGGAUGACGUCAAGUCAUCAUGGCCCUUACGAGUAGGGCUACACACGUGCUACAAUGGCAUAUACAAAGAGAAGCGACCUCGCGAGAGCAAGCGGACCUCAUAAAGUAUGUCGUAGUCCGGAUUGGAGUCUGCAACUCGACUCCAUGAAGUCGGAAUCGCUAGUAAUCGUGGAUCAGAAUGCCACGGUGAAUACGUUCCCGGGCCUUGUACACACCGCCCGUCACACCAUGGGAGUGGGUUGCAAAAGAAGUAGGUAGCUUAACCUUCGGGAGGGCGCUUACCACUUUGUGAUUCAUGACUGGGGUG